UUUAAGAUGCACUGCAGCGGUUCCCUGCGUCUUGACCGAGACGCGGGAUUGAAAGGGAACACGGUGGGGCCACCGGCUACGGGUCGAUCGAGACCCUUGCGGCCGGGCCGAAUCCGUGACUGUCCUCGCAACUGUGAGCGCAGAGGCAAGACCAUACCCGCCACUGGCGGUCCCGGCAGCGUCCGGGACGGCUGGGAAGGCCGGUCGACGCCGUUGACGCGCGAGUCAGGAGACCUGCCGCUAUUCCAGCCACCUU
RNAcentral lists this non-coding RNA (256 nucleotides) under Thiorhodococcus drewsii. Lineage: Bacteria; Pseudomonadati; Pseudomonadota; Gammaproteobacteria; Chromatiales; Chromatiaceae. The record is from RNAcentral.